GGGCCGUUAGCUCAGUUGGUAGAGCAGCUGACUCUUAAUCAGCGGGUCGGUGGUUCGAGCCCACCACGGCCCACCA
This 76-nucleotide transfer RNA is filed under the name Candidatus Muproteobacteria bacterium RIFCSPHIGHO2_01_60_12. RNAcentral's name for it is "tRNA-Lys". It matches the Rfam family "tRNA". From Rfam's summary of the family: Transfer RNA (tRNA) molecules are approximately 80 nucleotides in length. Lineage: Bacteria; Pseudomonadati; Pseudomonadota; Candidatus Muproteobacteria. RNAcentral also lists the same sequence under 4 other names. The record is from RNAcentral.